GGGCUCAGUGGUAGGGAGGUGUGUAGGGGUGGAGCUCAGUGGUAGGGAGAUGUGUAGGGGUGGAGCUCAGUGGUAGGGAGGUGUGUAGGGGUGGAGCUCAGUGGUAGGGAGGUGUGUAGGAGUGGAGCUCAGUGGUAGGGAGAUGCAUAGCGUACACAAGAUCCCAGGUUUCUCCAGAGACUGAGAGUCAGUCCUCAAACUGCCCCCCACGAACCUUGGUGACCGGAAGCAGUGGCUUCCACUUAUGGGCAGGAAGAUCCCACUUUUGCCUGAUCAUGUCUUCCUCUUCCUGCGUGGUCAGGAUGCACCCAUCCACUUUGCAGCUGUCGGGAGAAUUGCCUGUUGGAACAAACAGAGACCUGGGAACGGUUUCCUUCAGCCUAGCUCAGCUUCUAGGAUACAGAGGGAAGAGCGGGAAGCCAGGAGCAUCGUGAGGACUUGACAAGUGGCGUGUGACAGUGCCUGGAGUUUGCACCAGGUAUCCAUGAUAGUGGACAAAUGGGACAUCCGUGGGGUCCACUCCCUGAUCCCGCUGCCUUCACUGUGCCUCCUGACAGGGCAGAGGGGAGUUGUACGUGUGAUUAAGGAUGCUGGUUCUAAGAAUUAAGGCUCUGAGUCAUACCUAAGAAGAAAGAAGGACCUUAUUGUCCUGAUCGGCUCAGAGGGACAAGGUCCAUGUGCAAAAGCCCUACAGAGAUCUACGAAGGCCAGAAUAGCUCCUGUUAGUGGCCAGCUAAGAGCCAGGACUUCAGUCCCUCCACCAAAAUCCUCCUAGUGAAAAUGGCUAACCCAGCCUUCUGACAAGAGGAGCAGAGCAAUGGCUGAACCUACCUGGAUGUGCUUAAGUUCUGACAUGGAUUGUCGAUGGGUCCUGGCCUGCCUGGAUGGCUACAUGAAUAUAACACUGAAAACAGACGGGAGAACACGUGAAUGGGCAGUGGAAGAUUCAGUACGGGGAUAUGUCUAUUCUAGUAAACAUGCUACAUAACACUAAAAGGAAAAAGAAGAAAAAAACAGCAUUUAAAAAAAAAAAAGACAUCAGGGACUUGUGACAAACACCCCGAAUAACACUCACUCAGAUUUCCCAACCAAAAAGAACUGUUACCAAAGAAAACACCUGCAGACAUGCAGAGCUCCAAGGUGCUGCGAGAGAUACCAAACCUUGUCAGCUCCCUCAGCCAAAAAGUCCUAUUUUCCGUGUUUGUCUUAGGAGCACUGGAGCCCUUCUGUGCCUGGACCCCAGAAAAAGCACCAGCUCUUCUCUUUCAGGGAGCACAGUCCCUCCCCCCUGUUGAGGGCUGGCUGAUCCAAGGAUUUUCCUGAGGCCCUGAUAUUUUGACAAGGAACACAGCCCAUAUAGCCUGGGGACAGGGCCUUGGGGGAGCUGUUGCUCUAGACCCUGAAGACCAGCUCUUCCCACUGUACGGGGCUAUGAUAUCAGUCCCAAGGCUGCUGUGUGCUCUGUCUGUGAUGUUGGAGAGAUAACCCACAUUUCACUUGUGCAACAUUGUUUGAUUAUUGUCCUGUUGAGUUGGUCCCACUGUAUGACAGUUUCUCCAGACUCUGCCUCAUUUCUCCCUGGAAAAUAGUGUAUAAGAUGCUGGCUAUCUUAACAAGCUUGCUUGGCAUUAUUAGACAAAGCUUGUGCAAGGCCUCCUGAUCCCACACUCAUCUGUCUCCCUACCUUCUGAUCUCCUGGUCCUCUCCCUUGGAACCUGCCAAUGAAGAAUGAUCUGCUGGUCCAGGUCACCCACCUUUCCCCAAGGAGAUGGUUAAGUUAUAACAGUUGCCAGAGGAGGCAGAGUGUAUUCCUCAGUGUAGCCACUGGUAAGUUGCUCUUGCUCAAGUACAUAAUACACAUACUCACACACAUACAUUCACACACACAAACACACACACACACACACACACCAACACAAAAACACACAUUCACACACACACAUACCUGUGUGCACACAUACUCACAUAAACACACACAUUCUCUCACACAGACACAUGUACAUGCUCAUUCACAUGCAUGCACACACACACACACACACACACACACACACACACACACACACACACCAAAGAAUGAAUAAAGGAAUCAGCUAAGGUCCAAGAGAGAAAGAAAAGGAUCCAGACACAUCUACAGUUCCUCCAGCCCUUCCAAAUACCCACCCUCCUCUCUUCCGCCUCUCUCAGGAAAGUCCCAAAUGGCAGGCCAUGGUGAGUCUGCUUCCAACUCUGUCACUGACCCUCCCUGGCAUCUGUUUAAACACAAUGCUGCCACUGAGACCAGGCAGCAGCCACUCCUAUGCCCAGCGGUACACUGAAGUUGGCCCUGGAAAUCCCUCACCCUCACCCUCAGCCUUCAGGAGUAAGACACAGUCCAGAGACUAAGGCAGUCCUUCUGCUGAGUGAAGUGUCACAGGCAGAGCAUGCCACAGGUGGGCCUGAGAAGCUGAGGAGGGACUGUCCCCCACAAGUAGAGGAUGCUGUACUGGCCUUAGAAUCAUCCCAUUAAAAAAAGGAAUCCAGGGGAAUUACUAUUAAGUCCCAGGGAAGCUUAGGCCAGAAGUAUAAACUUUGGAAUGAACCGAAGAAGCACACUGUUCAUUUGAGACAAAGCUUGGAAGACCUGAGGCAGAGCUCAGGAAGCCACAGCUGACAGAGGAGACUUCUGGCCAUGGACCAGCAGGACCGUGUAGGUGUGGUGGUAUGCAUCUGUGACCCCAACAUUUGGCAGGCUGAAGCAAGAGAUUCAUGAGUUCAAGACCAGUCUGCACUCCAUGGUGAGCAUUUGUCUCUGCUCUGAGUUCAAGUGUGUGUUAGUGAGUUUCACAACCCCACAGAAGAGCCUUCAUAGAGGAAAGGUGUAUUUUGUCUUGAGAUUUCAGGAGAUUUUAGUCCUUUAUGGUGGAGAAAGGAUGUUUGGUGAUGGCCCAUGUCAUCGAGAGCAUGAAGAAGCUCCCAGCAGCAAACAGAAGCACCAGGUUACAGCCCUCAAAUCUCUUCGACACAGUCCUGCAUCCACCACCUAAGCCUACAUCCCAAGGUUA
Long non-coding RNA from Peromyscus eremicus (cactus mouse), 3041 nucleotides. RefSeq lists it as uncharacterized. The transcript has 3 exons. The record is from RefSeq and is a predicted model, not a curated record. Lineage: Eukaryota; Metazoa; Chordata; Mammalia; Rodentia; Cricetidae.